GGGAAUGUGGUUCAGUGGUAGAGUUCUUGUCUUGCAUGCAUGAGGCCCUGGGUUCAAUUCCUCAGCACCA
Molecule: transfer RNA, 70 nt
Filed under: Dipodomys ordii (Ord's kangaroo rat)
Lineage: Eukaryota; Metazoa; Chordata; Mammalia; Rodentia; Heteromyidae
Rfam family: tRNA
About the family: Transfer RNA (tRNA) molecules are approximately 80 nucleotides in length. Their secondary structure includes four short double-helical elements and three loops (D, anti-codon, and T loops).
Source: Rfam by way of RNAcentral